AUUAAAGGAAAACUUAAGAAGUAAUUUUGGUUGAAAUACAAGGAUCCAUUUAGUUACACAGGUGAUGUUCAGUCUGAAAGGAUUAAAAGUGAAGUAGUUUGACCUGCUCCUUUACUUACUCCCGUUGUUCAUCUCUCUAACAGGUUGCUGACAGCAGGAAGAGGCAGAGGGAGGACAGCUGCUCCAGAGGCCCUGAGGAGCCUCCUGAGAGAAGACUCCGUGGGGAUGCUGCCGUCCUGUCACAGCGUAGCUCCAGCCCGCAGCCCUCCACCUCUUCCUCUACCCCACCACAGGCCAGGCAGGAGGAUGUCCAGCUGGAGGUUCAGGUAAGACAGGUGAUCCAGCCAGGACCCCUCCAGGAGCCUAUGGAGGACAGUCAGCCUGACGACGACGCGGCCUUGUCCCUCCUGCCGGAGCCUCGUGGUCUCUCACCCUCUUCUUUUCUUACAGUGUCCGAGAGCAUCAUGGCCUGGAUGUCUGACUGUCCAUUCAGCCGGGAGAUGUGAGACUCCUGCAGGAAACAGGCCUGGUGCAGAGCUCCACUGCUGGACCAGCCAGUAGCUGUGACAGGACCACACACACACAAACACACCUUUCAUUUGAACAUUUGAUUUUUAAUUCCAUAUUAAUUUAUAGAUAAGAUUGAAGUAUUUCACUUUUUAGUAUGUCAAUAAGUUUUACAUUUUUUAUUCUUUAUUACUUUAUAGAUAAGUUUUAAAUGUUUCUUUUUAGUAUGUUGAUAAGUUUUACAUUGUGAAGGCACCUCUCUAACUUCUGAUAUCAAGUUUGCUUUUGCCUGUUAGUUUUCCCUUUUUCCUUGAAGGUACCACAGGAACGUAUUUGCGACAGACCUGGUCCGAGCCUCCCAGGGACUAAAAGCCACUCGAGUUGCUCUGGUCUCUCUUUUCACCUGGACUCACCGCUGCCAGCAGCUGUACAUUUAACCUUUGUCUUUUACUGACGGACACACUUCACAUUUGUAGCUUUUUGUUUGCUUGUUUCCUUUUUUACAAUCCAUUGUGUCCCUUUCCAUGUUUGUCUUGGCCUAAGAGCCGGGUUAUGACACCACAAAAAAGUAUAUUACAGUAGACAUAGUAUCAUUUGUCAUAAAAA
This 1113-nucleotide long non-coding RNA is filed under the name Cottoperca gobio. RNAcentral's name for it is "lncRNA (ENSCGOG00000001248.1)". Lineage: Eukaryota; Metazoa; Chordata; Actinopteri; Perciformes; Bovichtidae. The record is from RNAcentral.